UUAAUAUUAAGAAGAAUCCUGGAAGACGGCAAGUAGCCAAAUUGGCUUUGAACAGCUUCUGGGGGCGAUGGGGAAUGAACCUGAACAAGAUACGUUUGACUUAUGUUCAUACAUUACCUGAUUUCAAUAAAUUAUUAGCAGAUCCAACAAAAAAUAUCAAAGACUUAUAUUUUCCGACUCCUGAAGUAGCUGCUGUGCAAUGGGACUAUAAACAUUAUUUUGUUCCACAGGACACAUCCACAAAUGUGUUCUUGGCAGCUUUUACUACUGCAUGGGCACGGUUAAAGCUUUACAGUGAAAUGGAGAAGUUGGGCCGUGCUGUGUUGUAUCAUGACACGGAUUCAAUUAUAUACGCAAGCGAUUUUUACCAACGAUCCGCCUCUUGGUAAUUUUUUUGGGGGAUUUUACAGAUGAACUCAAUGGAGAUACUAUUACUACAUUUGUCUCUGGAGGCCCUAAAAAUUACGCUUAUGUAACAGCCCGAGGAAUGACUUGCUGUAAAGUUCGAGGUUUCUCCCUCAACUUCAAAAAUCAACAGAUUUUAAAUUUUUUGGAGAUUAAGAAUUUAGUGUGCUCGAUGGAUCGAAAAACAACAAUCGCCAUGUACGAUGAACAUAAAAUCAUGAGAGAUGCCAAAAAGAGGAAAGUUUUAACUAAGGCAGAAACAAAACUGUACAAAAUUGUUUACAACAAAAGGGUCCUAAAAGAAGAUCUAACUACUGUUCCCUAUGGAUUUUAAGUGGUAUGCAUCUCAUUUAUUUUAUUUCAUUGCAGGGUUAUUGUUGGAUUAAUGUUAAAAAAAAAUUAUAUUUUGCAGUAAAAUUUUAAAAUUGUGUGGUUGACUUUUUUUUUCUUUUUCUUUUUUUUUUUUUU
Long non-coding RNA from Stegodyphus dumicola, 873 nucleotides. NCBI's taxonomy places the organism in Eukaryota, Metazoa, Arthropoda, Arachnida, Araneae, Eresidae. The record is from RefSeq and is a predicted model, not a curated record.